CUGGAGCCAAAGGCAGAUGUCCACCAAAUGAGCCAUCCAGGAAUGUAUAAAGAAGUCCAAAAUCACAGUUCUAGAUGCCAUGUAAAUCUCCACCUCUCCAGCUGCCAUCACGGAAAGAUAUCAGAACAAAAAGGAGAGUAACAUGUCCUUUAAGAUGAGAGUGAGCUUCUAAUGUAAAGGGUAGCUGGACAGAGAGAAGUUGGGACUGGCUUCAGAGUGAAGGGUCUUCACAGAAAUAGUUAUGGUGACGACAAGAAGACAUUUCUGAAUGCAAGUCGGUAGCUCUGUGUCAG
Molecule: long non-coding RNA, 293 nt
Organism: Mustela erminea (ermine)
Lineage: Eukaryota; Metazoa; Chordata; Mammalia; Carnivora; Mustelidae
Exons: 3
Source: RefSeq, a predicted model, not a curated record